AGUCACUGACAUUAGAUACCCCGGUAGUCCAGGGUGUAAACGCUGCAGACUUGGUGUUGGAGGCCCUUUGGGGGCAUUCAGUGCCGGAGAGAAGUUGUUAAGUCUGCUACUUGGGGAGUACGUCCGCAAGGAUGAAACUUAAAGGAAUUGGCGGGGGAGCACCGCAACGGGAGGAGCGUGCGGUUUAAUUGGAUUCAACACCGUAAAACUCACCAGGGAGGACUGUUACAUGAAGGCCGAGAUGAAGACUCUGCUAGAUUUUCAG
Molecule: ribosomal RNA, 265 nt
Filed under: uncultured archaeon
Lineage: Archaea
Description: partial 16S ribosomal RNA
Rfam family: Archaeal small subunit ribosomal RNA
Source: RNAcentral